This 83-nucleotide non-coding RNA is filed under the name unclassified sequences. RNAcentral's name for it is "c-di-GMP-II sequence". It matches the Rfam family "Cyclic di-GMP-II riboswitch aptamer". The record is from RNAcentral.
UAAGGGUGAGGCUGCAAUGAAGCCUGGUUUUAAAUGGUCACUUGAACCGGGGAGAGCAAAUAGUGAAACCAGCCUCACCUUUU